Molecule: ribosomal RNA, 479 nt
Filed under: uncultured bacterium
Lineage: Bacteria
Description: bacterial SSU rRNA
Rfam family: Bacterial small subunit ribosomal RNA
Source: RNAcentral
AUUGAACGCUGGCGGAAUGCUUUACACAUGCAAGUCGAACGGUAGAGGGGGCAACCCCUCGAGAGUGGCGAACGGGUGAGUAAUAUAUCGGAACGUGCCCAGUCGUGGGGGAUAACGUAGCGAAAGUUACGCUAAUACCGCAUACGAUCUAUGGAUGAAAGCGGGGGAUCGCAAGACCUCGCGCGAUUGGAGCGGCCGAUAUCAGAUUAGGUAGUUGGUGGGGUAAAGGCUCACCAAGCCAACGAUCUGUAGCUGGUCUGAGAGGACGACCAGCCACACUGGAACUGAGACACGGUCCAGACUCCUACGGGAGGCAGCAGUGGGGAAUUUUGGACAAUGGACGCAAGUCUGAUCCAGCCAUUCCGCGUGCAGGAUGAAGGCCCUCGGGUUGUAAACUGCUUUGUACGGAACGAAAAGGUUUCUAUUAAUACUAGGAGCUCAUGACGGUACCGUAAGAAUAAGCACCGGCUAACUACGUG